Long non-coding RNA from Symphalangus syndactylus (siamang), 2768 nucleotides. RefSeq lists it as uncharacterized. Lineage: Eukaryota; Metazoa; Chordata; Mammalia; Primates; Hylobatidae. The record is from RefSeq and is a predicted model, not a curated record.
CAACUUCUCGACGCUAAAGGAAAGUGAGAGAAAAAGAAAAAGGACAACAAAUUUAGUAUUUGUAUACUAGAUGCAAGAACUACAGUACCAGGAAGUAGGAGACAUCAGGGAAAGAAUAAUUCAAAGAAGAGCCAGGAGAACAGCCUGGCUUACAGUGCCUCUACCUCUUCAAGAUUCUAAGGUCAACGUUCUAACUAAGGAAUUGCUAAUGAUGCUUCUGGGCAGCUUCCAGGAAGGACGGGGGUCUCAGGGUACCAUGACGAAGCCAAUCGCUUCAGGAAUGGCCAGGAUAAAGGACAGGAUCCAGAUGGAGACAAUUUCAAUGGCAGUUACCAAAGGAAUCCCAAUUCCCUGAACACGACUCCAGGAGGCAACUGCUCUGUACCUGAAAAAAAAGUUCCAGGUCUGGCCUCUGAAAGGAGCCUUGAGCCUGCCGGAGCAAAAACAUUGAGAGGACCCUGAGACUACAUGGAGGGGGAGAUGGGCUCUGCUGAGCUCAGACUUCCAGCUGUCCCUGCCAAGGUGCCAGGCAUGUGGGUGUUGCACCUCUGACACAAGCUCAGAGUCAGCUGAAGUUCACCAACCCCAGCUGAAGUGACAAGGAGCAGAAGAAUUGCCCAAAUUCCUGACCUUCAACAUGGUGAGAUAUGAUAAAACGGUUGUUGUUCUGAAUUGCUAAGUUUUGGGGUAGUUAUCAAAGAGAAAUGGGGUAGCAAAAUUAACCAGUUGCCUGAUCUUGAAAAUAGAAUAAGAUAAAAGAACAAAUAACUCAGUGCAAUAGUGAACAGACUCCCAAAUAAGAUCCUAUUGCCCUACCCAGCCUUGGACUUUGUCCAGUUCCCUGCUCAUGUCUUCUGGCUCAGACCCUUCCUCUGUGUCUUCACUAUUGUCACGGUGCAAUAGAAAACUAUAACACCAGGAAAAUAAGGAGAAACCAAGUCCAACUCUAACAAAGAGGUUUUUCUGAAAACCACCUUCAUGUUUCUUGAGUUAGGAUAUACCUUUGAGAAUAUCACAGAGACCACUGAGCAAUUAUUUGAAAUGAUGGAUUCAAGAACUGACAUCAGCUUUUCAGCCAUAUAAAACAAAGCUGCCUUAUUAAUGGAUCUUUGCAACUUUUCCAAGUAUCUAAUAACACAUCACUCUGGAAUAGUUGUUAAAAGAGUUUUAUCUUUUUAUAGCCUUCUUCCCCAGGCAACUUUUAACAAGUUGGAUCUGUACCCAGACCUUUUUACUGGUCUGAUCCCAUCAUCAUCAUCUUCCACUUUAACACAACUUUGCAAAGAACAACAGUGAUCCCUCCUACCCCCCUCCUGCUGCUGCUUUUUUUUUUUUUUUUUGCCUCCGAACAUACUCAAAGUAAUAUAUAAAACUUGUCACUUUCAGCAUGUAAAAAUACCUAUUUUAAUAGCUGGUAAUGGCUGGUUAUUCAUUUCUGUUGGGAAAAGUUUGUUCGUUAUAGAAGUAUACUGCCUUAGAAUUAAAAAGAUAAUUCACCGAAAAAGCUGGAUAGGGGUCAAAAUUUGUUUCUGAAUUUCUUCAGUUCCUGAUUUGUCUUUUUCUCAAAUGACCAAGGAUGUGAAACUAGAUUUGUGGAGGAAUUAUUCAAAAAGUUAAACUGAGACAAGUCCAUAGUUGAAAUUAGCAAUGAAAGCCUAUCCAUUCUGGCAGAAAUCAUGUGCUUUCUCUCAGUCCUGUUUAUCUUAUUCAGAUUAAAAGCUGAUAGUGAGAAAGCUAGAUCUUUUCUUUGAUCUUACAUCAUUCUGUAAUCAUUGAUUAAUGAAGUAAUGAAGAAAUCCUAUAGAACUUGGAUGUAUGGUUUCUCUCAUUUUCUUUCAAACAACUCUGAAAUGUGAGAUAAUUAUGUUUUUAAAAUACUGUGUAAAAAAAUCAUGAGAACUCUUUGUCCUGGGCCAUAACUUAUUCAGCUCAUAAAAUGAAAGUAGGGAUUCACAAACUGCAACAGAUUCCAAACUCCCUUUUCAUUCCUUGUUUCAUUUUAAAAAGUGUUGUUUUUUUUUGUUUUUUGUUUUUUGUUUUUGUAGUAGUAGUAGAAUAUAAUGCAACCAAAUGAAGAGUUAAAGCAAAUGGAAUCUUAUCUUCAGGAAUUAAGUGUGAAUGAUUCAUUCUCUCGUGUGAAAGCUUUUGAAAUAGAAAUGUCAAAUAGAUUCCCUACAUACAAGUCCUGAAGCUUAGGGUCAAUACCAAAUGAAAUGUAAAAAUAGUAAAUUGUGUGUCUAGGGAACAAAGAAUGAUUAGUUUAUUUUCAAGGAAAAACCUUUUGGAUUAAGGCUGAUUUUUGUGAGAGUGGAAUUUUAAAAUAGUUCAUCUCCUUGAUCUACAACUCAGAUCAAAUCUUAAUGAGAUAGAUUCUUGGCAUCAUUUUUUCUUACUUUCAUUGUUUUUCUUUUCUUUCUUUUCCUUCCCUUCCUUCCUUCAGUCCUUCCUUUCUUUUUAACUAAGAAUCACUCACAUUUCAUUUGAUACACAACUAUUUAUCGUGAUGGAACAUCUUAUUUCUCUUUCUUCAUGCAUGAGAUGAAGAGAGGAGGUGGUAUGGGUGAGGUGACCCGACACUAGAUAUAGGAAUCUAUGACCUAACCUUCCCGCUAUCUUCCCGACUCAACACUGGGCAUGAUUGAAGCUCCGCAUGAUGCUCCGAGAUCCCCCCAAGGAAGAAAGAGGAGGCAGAACAAAAAAGUGAGGAGGAACCAGCUCUGCCCCCUGGGCCUGUGAGAGGAGUGUCAAUUUUUCCCAGCUUAUUACUU